Molecule: transfer RNA, 74 nt
Filed under: Patescibacteria group bacterium
Lineage: Bacteria
Description: tRNA-Trp
Rfam family: tRNA
About the family: Transfer RNA (tRNA) molecules are approximately 80 nucleotides in length. Their secondary structure includes four short double-helical elements and three loops (D, anti-codon, and T loops).
Source: RNAcentral
AGGGCCAUCGUAUAAUGGUAGUACUAGGGUCUCCAAAACCCUCUGUGCGGGUUCGAUUCCUGCUGGCCCUGCCA